Non-coding RNA from Gossypium hirsutum (cotton), 107 nucleotides. The record is from Rfam. Lineage: Eukaryota; Viridiplantae; Streptophyta; Magnoliopsida; Malvales; Malvaceae.
AACCCAUUAUGAGGACACAUUCUCAAAAAAUCCUUAAAUCUCUCCCAUGCAUCAUAAAAUGUCUCAAACUCAGUUUGAGAAAAAGAAGAUAUGACGUUCCUCAACUU